RNAcentral lists this unclassified non-coding RNA (250 nucleotides) under Hevea brasiliensis (rubber tree). Lineage: Eukaryota; Viridiplantae; Streptophyta; Magnoliopsida; Malpighiales; Euphorbiaceae. The record is from RNAcentral.
GUUCUGAACCCUCCAUUGUGAAGUACCUUUCUGUGGCUCCUAAACCCUUUUCCAAGUUUAACCUGAAAAUUACACUUAAACCAGUCCUCUUCAACUUCAACGAUUGUUUUUCUUGUCCUAACUUCCAAUCCAACUACCCUUCUCUCUUCAAGUUCCUAGCAGAAAAAUGCAUGUCCAGUCCUUGCUUCAUUCUUCUCACACUCCUUUCCAAACCCUAGAACCCAGAUUUUUUUCUCAGUCUUUAUUUCUC